GACUCAACUCCCUCGGGUUUCCGAGUGGGUUGGACUUGGGUGUUGCCGUCACAGGCUCGCCUCAAAUGAGUUAGCAGAGGAAGCAACCGAGCCUGGCGUAAUAAGUUUCGCUGGUGUUGGGAUGCGGAGACCGCUCACAACGCCCUCGGGCACCUUUUGACUCUGACCUCAAAUCAGGUAGGACUACCCGCUGAACUUAA
This 200-nucleotide unclassified non-coding RNA is filed under the name soil metagenome. RNAcentral's name for it is "partial contains internal transcribed spacer 2 and large subunit ribosomal RNA". The record is from RNAcentral.